CAACACAAAGAUCUAAGGGGCAACAAAUCGACUUAGACUUCACUAAAAACCAGUCGACUGAUUUUUAGCAGAGCCGUUAGAAAUAACAAUCAGAGAGAUAUCCCGAGUAAUUUAUUCAUCCAUGAAGGAGGAGGACAUACAAUUUACAAACCAACAAAAGCAACCAGCAGCAUACAACUGUCGACUCAUCAGACAUCAUCAGUCCCAAACAUACACGGUCCGUUCAUACAUGAUACAUUAACUAUCACUGGACUCUCGUUUCGAAAGAAAAAAAAACUAUCACUGGACUCAGGCACAGAUAGACCAGCAGCAUAUCCUCAGAGGAACCUGUUGAGUAAGUCGUCGACGGUGGUGUACUUGACGUCAGGGUACAGCUCGCUCGCCUCCACGCC
This 392-nucleotide long non-coding RNA is filed under the name Triticum aestivum (bread wheat). RNAcentral describes it as "long non-coding RNA (TAES_LNC007524)". Lineage: Eukaryota; Viridiplantae; Streptophyta; Magnoliopsida; Poales; Poaceae. The record is from RNAcentral.